This 273-nucleotide ribosomal RNA is filed under the name uncultured Staphylococcus sp. RNAcentral describes it as "partial 16S ribosomal RNA". It matches the Rfam family "Bacterial small subunit ribosomal RNA", at positions 89 to 355 of the family's 1533-position model. The record is from RNAcentral. Lineage: Bacteria; Bacillati; Bacillota; Bacilli; Caryophanales; Staphylococcaceae.
ACGUUAGCGGCGGACGGGUGAGUAACACGUGGGUAACCUACCUAUAAGACUGGGAUAACUUCGGGAAACCGGAGCUAAUACCGGAUAAUAUUUCGAACCGCAUGGUUCGAUAGUGAAAGGUGGUUUUGCUAUCACUUAUAGAUGGACCCGCGCCGUAUUAGCUAGUUGGUAAGGUAACGGCUUACCAAGGCGACGAUACGUAGCCGACCUGAGAGGGUGAUCGGCCACACUGGAACUGAGACACAGUCCAGACUCCUACGGGAGGCAGCAGCU